GAUGAACGCUGGCGGCGUGCCUAAUACAUGCAAGUCGAGCGAACAGACGAGGAGCUUGCUCCUCUGACGUUAGCGGCGGACGGGUGAGUAACACGUGGAUAACCUACCUAUAAGACUGGGAUAACUUCGGGAAACCGGAGCUAAUACCGGAUAAUAUAUUGAACCGCAUGGUUCAAUAGUGAAAGACGGUUUUGCUGUCACUUAUAGAUGGAUCCGCGCCGCAUUAGCUAGUUGGUAAGGUAACGGCUUACCAAGGCAACGAUGCGUAGCCGACCUGAGAGGGGGAUAGGCCACACUGGAACUGAGACACGGUCCAGACUCCUACGGGGAGCAGCAGUAGGGAAUCUUCCGAAAUGGGCGAAAGCUUGACGGAGCAACGCCGCGUGAGUGAUGAAGGUCUUCGGAUCGUAAAACUCUGGUAUUAGGGAAGAACAAAUGUGUAAGUAACUAUGCACGUCUUGACGGUACCUAAUCAGAAAGCCACGGCUAACUACGUG
RNAcentral lists this ribosomal RNA (497 nucleotides) under uncultured bacterium. RNAcentral describes it as "partial 16S ribosomal RNA". It matches the Rfam family "Bacterial small subunit ribosomal RNA", at positions 28 to 507 of the family's 1533-position model. The record is from RNAcentral.